ACGGGGGGGGCAAGCGUUGUUCGGAAUUACUGGGCGUAAAGGGCGCGUAGGCGGCCAUCUAAGUCAGACGUGAAAUCCCCCGGCUUAACCUGGGAACUGCGUCUGAUACUGGACGGCUUGAGUUUGGGAGAGGGAUGCAGAAUUCCAGGUGUAGCGGCGAAAUGCGUAGAUAUCUGGAGGAAUACCGGUGGCGAAGGCGGCAUCCUGGACUAAUACUGACGCUGAGGCGCGAAAGCUAGGGGAGCAAACGGGA
Molecule: ribosomal RNA, 253 nt
Filed under: uncultured prokaryote
Description: partial 16S ribosomal RNA
Rfam family: Bacterial small subunit ribosomal RNA
Source: RNAcentral